UAGGGAAUCUUCGGCAAUGGACGAAAGUCUGACCGAGCAACGCCGCGCGAGUGAAGAAGGUUUUCGGAUCGUAAAACUCUGUUGUUAGAGAAGAACAAGGACGUUAGUAACUGAACGUCCCCUGACGGUAUCUAACCAGAAAGCCACGGCUAACUACGUGCCAGCAGCCGCGGUAAUACGUAGGUGGCAAGCGUUGUCCGGAUUUAUUGGGCGUAAAGCGAGCGCAGGCGGUUUCUUAAGUCUGAUGUGAAAGCCCCCGGCUCAACCGGGGAGGGUCAUUGGAAACUGGGAGACUUGAGUGCAGAAGAGGAGAGUGGAAUUACAUGUGUAGCGGUGAAAUGCGUAGAUAUAUGGAGGAACACCAGUGGCGAAGGCGGCUCUCUGGUCUGUAACUGACGCUGAGGCUCGAAAGCGUGGGGAGCAAACAGG
RNAcentral lists this ribosomal RNA (429 nucleotides) under Gemmatimonadota bacterium. Its description in RNAcentral is "Gemmatimonadetes bacterium partial 16S ribosomal RNA". It matches the Rfam family "Bacterial small subunit ribosomal RNA", at positions 355 to 776 of the family's 1533-position model. Lineage: Bacteria; Pseudomonadati; Gemmatimonadota. The record is from RNAcentral.